GGAGCUAUAGCUCAGUGGUGGAGCACUUGCCUCCCAUGUGUGAGGCACUGGGUUCAAUCCUUAGCACCA
RNAcentral lists this transfer RNA (69 nucleotides) under Ictidomys tridecemlineatus (thirteen-lined ground squirrel). RNAcentral's name for it is "Spermophilus tridecemlineatus (thirteen-lined ground squirrel) tRNA". It matches the Rfam family "tRNA". Rfam says of the family: Transfer RNA (tRNA) molecules are approximately 80 nucleotides in length. Their secondary structure includes four short double-helical elements and three loops (D, anti-codon, and T loops). Lineage: Eukaryota; Metazoa; Chordata; Mammalia; Rodentia; Sciuridae. The record is from Rfam by way of RNAcentral.